This 254-nucleotide ribosomal RNA is filed under the name uncultured microorganism. RNAcentral's name for it is "partial 16S ribosomal RNA". It matches the Rfam family "Archaeal small subunit ribosomal RNA", at positions 474 to 727 of the family's 1478-position model. The record is from RNAcentral.
CACCGGCGGCUCGAGUGGUGGCCACUUUUAUUGGGUCUAAAGCGUCCGUAGCCGGCUUGGCAAGUCCCCUGGGAAAUCUGGCGGCUUAACCGUCAGGCGUCCAGAGGAUACUGCCAGGCUUGGGACCGGGAGAGGUGAGAGGUACCUCAGGGGUAGGGGUGAAAUCUUGUGAUCCCUGAGGGACCACCAGUGGCGAAGGCGUCUCACUAGGACGGGUCCGACGGUCAGGGACGAAAGCUGGGGGCACGAACCGG